Molecule: long non-coding RNA, 341 nt
Organism: Sycon ciliatum
Lineage: Eukaryota; Metazoa; Porifera; Calcarea; Leucosolenida; Sycettidae
Exons: 3
Source: RefSeq, a predicted model, not a curated record
CAAGCUGCACACUCUGGUUUUCAUGUACUCUUGAUUCUACGCAACAAGUCAUACUGAUUGCAUAAAAUCGUUUUUACGCUUAUACCCUUGUCUUCUUCUUCUCCGAAACUUGACUUGAAGCAUAUUUCUAGGCUUCCUCCUGUGUGUGGAUCAGCACAUCCGCAAGUCUUGUGAGCCUUUGCACCCCCGUGCAAGGCGUGACAGUCGCUGCAAUCCUUCUUCCGUACGCGCACUGUUUCCAUAGUCAUGUCGGCGCUGCCAAUGGACACCAUUGCCUUAUUCAUUGCAAUUUGCUUGGCAUUUCCAAAUCCCAUUCCAGCAUCCGAUGGCGUUAAUCACAC